This 254-nucleotide ribosomal RNA is filed under the name uncultured prokaryote. Its description in RNAcentral is "partial 16S ribosomal RNA". It matches the Rfam family "Bacterial small subunit ribosomal RNA", at positions 524 to 777 of the family's 1533-position model. The record is from RNAcentral.
UACGGAGGAUGCGAGCGUUAUCCGGAUUUAUUGGGUUUAAAGGGUGCGUAGGCGGCUUUUUAAGUCAGCGGUGAAAUUUUGCAGCUUAACUGUAACAGUGCCGUUGAUACUGGGGAGCUAGGAUUUGGUUGCUGUGGGUGGAAUGUGUGGUGUAGCGGUGAUAUGCUUAGAGAUCACACAGAAUAUCGAUUGCGAAGGCAGCUCACAAAGCCAAGAUUGACGCUGAGGCACGAAAGUGUGGGGAUCAAACAGGA